Molecule: long non-coding RNA, 1389 nt
Organism: Pyrus x bretschneideri (Chinese white pear)
Lineage: Eukaryota; Viridiplantae; Streptophyta; Magnoliopsida; Rosales; Rosaceae
Exons: 2
Source: RefSeq, a predicted model, not a curated record
CCAACGGUUAUAAUCUUCAACCACCGGGUAUUAAUUGUAUUCUCUUAUUUGUUUUUUUUUGUAAAUUUUCUCAGGUAGUACAAAACUAUUAAUAAAAUAGUCUAGAUUACAACGUCAUUGGAUAGAUUCUAGCAUACAACGCGACGAGUGUAAGAGUCCGAGAGAUAAAAAUAAGGAGAUAGCAAGACAAUAAAGCAGGUUAUGCAGCUGUCCGCGGUUCCAAGAUUAAUAACAAAGAAAACACUGAGCUAAAAAAUUGGAAUGAGAAAUAUGGGCCUGUUUAAUACAAUGAGCCCAAAUAAGUUAGGCCUAAUGCACGUUUUCAUUUAGAAUUGAAAGGAAAACUUGGGUGUGAAUGAUGAAAUCAUAAGAUGCAGGAGGAGUUGCCCGCUUGCCCUGCAAGCACACUUUUCAGCCUCCGUGCCUUGGGCCCGUAAGAAUAUAAACAUGAGAUUGGAUAUUUUGACAGUGAAUGAUUAAGUCCAAUUGGAAUAGGAAAGCCUUAUAAGAAGCUGUGUGCAAAUCCCUUGUUUGUGAAGGAUUUUGUUAUAACAUUUAAACUGAUAUGGAUUGGAAAACAUAAGUUGUUCUCUACAAGGAUUUUAAUAGGGAAUCCUUAUUGGAUAAUGAGAGAUAUAUGCCUAUAUAUAUUGUGAGUUUGUGACCUCUGCUCCCACGGAUAAAUACGAAUAAGCUGGUCAAGUAGAAGGAACUCCCAGAGUGUGAAGCCCCUUGGUCUGGGGCAAUUGCACCGUUCUCUCCCUCCGCGCAUGACUAAUCGAGAACGAACUUCGCAAUUAGAGUUUCUCAACCUUCUCAGGCACUGCGGAAUGGUCCCAGAAAGGAUGAGAAAAGGGCUGCUGCCGGGCUAGGACCAGCGCUUGCUGCCCGACUAUCGCAACAAUUGUGCUUUCUACGGAACAAAGUCCUAUUCUUGGUUAGAGUUCAUAAUAAUCUGACAAAGGGGACAAGAGUCCCAGUACGCAGAAAAUCGGUUUGCAGCAUCCAUGGCUACUUCGAAUGGAGGUUCAUCAGAGCCAUGGCUGGAAAUUUGAGAAAAGAGCACCACGCAUCAAAAUUACAAAGUAUGACUAUCCUCCAAAAGAAAAUCUACAACCAUGUAUGGAACCUCCAACCCUCCUCUGUAGCUCUUUCUUUAGCCCGUGCUGACUGGCUACUGCAGUGCCGAGUGCCGAGUGUCGAGUGCCGAUUGCAGGAUCUACAUAGAACACAUCCUAUUUUAAUUGAGAAUUGAAUCAUGUAUUGUUUUAAUUAUGUUUUAAUCAUUAGAUACGGUGAAUGAAUUUGAUGAACACGAGUACUUUGUUAUAUUGUGAGUUCGAACUAUUGUUUUUAAUAGAUGUAAUAUUUAUUAAAUUUUAAUCGUAA